Molecule: ribosomal RNA, 480 nt
Filed under: uncultured bacterium
Lineage: Bacteria
Description: bacterial SSU rRNA
Rfam family: Bacterial small subunit ribosomal RNA
Source: RNAcentral
GAUGAACGCUAGCUACAGGCUUAACACAUGCAAGUCGAGGGCAGCACAGUGUAGCAAUACAUGGGUGGCGACCGGCGCACGGGUGCGUAACGCGUAUCCAACCUUCCCGUUACUCUCGGAUAGCCUUCCGAAAGGGAGAUUAAUACGAGAUGGUGUUGAAAUUCCGCAUGUUAUUUCAACUAAAGAUUCAUCGGUAACGGAUGAGGAUGCGUACGAUUAGCUUGUUGGCGGGGUAACGGCCCACCAAGGCAACGAUCGUUAGGGGUUCUGAGAGGAAGGUCCCCCACACUGGAACUGAGACACGGUCCAGACUCCCACGGGAGCAGCAGUGAGGAAUAUUGGUCAAUGGGCGGGAGCCUGAACCAGCCAAGUAGCGUGAAGGAUGACUGCCCUACGGGUUGUAAACUUCUUUGUUGGAAUAAAGACGCUACGUGUAGCGUUGUGCAUGUACCUUACGAAUAAGCAUCGGCUAAUUCCGUG